Molecule: ribosomal RNA, 440 nt
Filed under: uncultured bacterium
Lineage: Bacteria
Description: partial 16S ribosomal RNA
Rfam family: Bacterial small subunit ribosomal RNA
Source: RNAcentral
CUACGGGGUGCUGCAGUGGGGAAUAUUGCACAAUGGGCGCAAGCCUGAUGCAGCGACGCCGCGUGAGUGAUGAAGUAUUUCGGUAUGUAAAGCUCUAUCAGCAGGGAAGAAAAUGACGGUACCUGACUAAGAAGCCCCGGCUAACUACGUGCCAGCAGCCGCGGGUAAUACGUAGGGGGCAAGCGUUAUCCGGAUUUACUGGGUGUAAAGGGAGCGUAGGUGGCAAGGCAAGUCAGAAGUGAAAACCCAGAGCUCAACUUUGGGACUGCUUUUGAAACUGUCUAGCUAGAGUGCAGGAGAGGUAAGCGGAAUUCCUAGUGUAGCGGUGAAAUGCGUAGAUAUUAGGAGGAACACCAGUGGCGAAGGCGGCUUACUGGACUGUAACUGACACUGAGGCUCGAAAGCGUGGGGAGCAAACAGGAUUAGAUACCCCAGUAGUC